GACGAACGCUGGCGGCGUGCUUAACACAUGCAAGUCGAACGGAAAGGCCUCUUUCGGGGGGUACUCGAGUGGCGAACGGGUGAGUAACACGUGAGUAACCUGCCCUUGACUUUGGGAUAACUUUAGGAAACUGGGGCUAAUACCGGAUAGGAGCUCCUGCUGCAUGGUGGGGGUUGGAAAGUUUCGGCGGUUGGGGAUGGACUCGCGGCUUAUCAGCUUGUUGGUGGGGUAGUGGCUUACCAAGGCUUUGACGGGUAGCCGGCCUGAGAGGGUGACCGGCCACAUUGGGACUGAGAUACGGCCCAGACUCCUACGGGAGGCAGCAGUGGGGAAUAUUGCACAAUGGGUGGAAGCCUGAUGCAGCAACGCCGUGUGCGGGAGGACGGCCUUCGGGUUGUAAACCGCUUUCGCUCAUGACGAAGCUUUGUGUGACGGUAGUGGGUAAAGAAGCACCGGCUAACUACGUG
This 467-nucleotide ribosomal RNA is filed under the name uncultured bacterium. Its description in RNAcentral is "partial 16S ribosomal RNA". It matches the Rfam family "Bacterial small subunit ribosomal RNA", at positions 28 to 507 of the family's 1533-position model. The record is from RNAcentral.